UCUAGAGCUAAUACAUGCAGUUUUGGGAGAGCGCAAGCUGUCUCACGGCAUUUAUUGGACAAAACCAACUACCGGCGUAACGGCUUGCUGUUGCGAUGCGUAAGGUGAAUCUAGAUAACUUUGCUGAUCGUAUGGCCUAGUGCCGGCGACGUUUCAAUUGAAUUUCUGCCCUAUUAACUUGUUGGUAGUAUAGUUGCCUACCAAGGUUGCGACGGGUGACGGGGAAUCAGGGUUCGAUUCCGGAGAGGGAGCCUGAGAAACGGCUACCACAUCCAAGGAAGGCAGCAGGCGCGCAAAUUACCCAAUCCAGACAAUGGGAGGUGGUGACGGAGAGUACCGGAUAACUAAAGUAUUUUUAGUUAGUCUGGAAUGAAAUCAAUUUAAGUAAUUGAGUUGAGUAACUACUGGAGGGCAAGCCUGGUGCCAGCAGCCGCGGUAAUUCCAGCUCCAGUAGCGUGUCUCAAAGUUGCUGCGCUUAAAACGCUCGUAGUUGGAUGAGAAACUGCGCAUCGGAUAGUUAUUUUCUAGGUGAAUGAGCUACAUAUUAUUGUAUUGCGAUGUUUAACAUCCAAUACUUAUUGAUAUUAGUUUAACUAGAAAUAACAUAAAACCGAUGCGCAGUAAUUGCGUAUGAGGAUGACCAUUGACCUUAAGUGUGUUGAAGGUCGUGUCUCAUGGGAUGUGCCUUGAGUAAAUCAGAGUGCUCAAAGCAGGCGUGAUGCCUGAAUGUUGAUAGCAUGGAACGAACAAAUGUGUAGAUGUGUAUUGAUUAUGGUAGUUGUUGUUAGCAAUAGCAACCUACUACAAUAUGCAACACCGACCGCCAAUUACGGAUGUUGGUUCCGUAUUGGGGUACUGAUUAAAAGGAGCGGUUGGGGGCAUUGGUAUU
Molecule: ribosomal RNA, 889 nt
Filed under: Myxozoa sp. OMsCVII 2
Lineage: Eukaryota; Metazoa; Cnidaria; Myxozoa
Description: SSU rRNA
Rfam family: Eukaryotic small subunit ribosomal RNA
Source: RNAcentral